CCUACGGGAGGCAGCAGUGGGGAAUAUUGCACAAUGGGGGAAACCCUGAUGCAGCGACGCCGCGUGAGUGAAGAAGUCUUUCGGUAUGUAAAGCUCUAUCAGCAGGGAAGAUAAUGACGGUACCUGAGUAAUAAGCCCCGGCUAACUACGUGCCAGCAGCCGCGGUCAUACGUAGGGGGCAAGCGUUAUCCGGAUUUACUGGGUGUAAAGGGAGCGUAGACGGCAUGGCAAGUCUGAAGUGAAAGCCGGGGGCUCAACCGCGGGACUGCUUUGGAAACUGGUAAGCUGGAGUGCAGGAGAGGGAAGUGGAAUUCCUAGUGUAGCGGUGAAAUGCGUAGAUAUGAGGAGGAACACCAGUGGCGAAGGCGGCUUACUGGAAUGUAACUGACGUUGAGGCUCGAAAGCGUGGGGAGCAAACAGGAUUAGAUACCCUUGUAGUC
RNAcentral lists this ribosomal RNA (440 nucleotides) under uncultured bacterium. RNAcentral's name for it is "partial 16S ribosomal RNA". It matches the Rfam family "Bacterial small subunit ribosomal RNA", at positions 338 to 795 of the family's 1533-position model. The record is from RNAcentral.